GCUUGCGUUUGCGUGCGCGCAUCUAUAAGGCGUUCCAGUUGGGUAUGGGUUGGGUACGAAAGGCCGUGCACCCCCAAGCCCGCAGCGCCCCAAGAGCUUGGGUACCCAGCACUAAAACUCUCUAUUACCGUGAUAUACCCUAUGCAUGCACCUUGUGCAAACUGAGCGUGAAAGAAUUCUGGACAAGCCUGUCAACAGUGGCAGCUCGCGGAAACGGCUGCAGAUGUACAACAGCUACACAUGGCUUCUGUCUCCUAUGAAAAGGGAACUUCACUGAGCCACCUGGUUGCUUUAUUCAAGUAGCCUGCAUAUUCAGGAUGUUCAAAAUUAAGCCCUUUGUUUUUCUUUCAAAAAGUCAGUGCUGUAAGUUAUGUGUGUAAAAGCCACCUUUGCAGAUAGCUAUGUGUUCAGGGGGAUACAAUGUGCAACAAUACUUAUUAAUGUCAGCCGUGCCGUUGAAUAAGAUGCACUAUUGAACUUAGUGAAGACUGCAGCAGGCCCCUAUGCAUGUAUUAAAAAUUUGAGCCAGUCGCAUUUCUGCAUAGAUCCAAAAAAAUUUUGCAUGCCUGUGCUUAGAUAUCCUGCAAGUAAAUUCAGUUGCAGCUUGCAUCAUUAUGCAUGCAGGACAGUGAGCACUAGCACACAGCUACUACUCCUUGAUGGGCCGCGUAUAAUCUGACCAUGGGUCGAAGCCAUAGGUAAAUAUUAUAAUGGUUACCCUGUUACUACCGGCUGGUGAUAGCUAGCAGUGAGUGCUCGUCCCACCAGGGAUUAAUAGUUAGCUGAACCUCACUGCCUUGCAUGUGUCAUGAUGAAAAGCACAAUUGAACUUCGGAUCGGGAUAUCUCGAAGCAUAGACAUGCUCGAAGAAUUGUUUCAAGUGGGAUUGUGUAGAAACACAACUGCCACAAACUUUUCUGUGCAAACAUACCCACUUAUUGUAGCCACCGAAAUUUCGUUAUUCUUAGUUUAUUGGGUAGCUGACAGCAUUAUUGUCUUACUUAGAGUCCCCCUGGAAACAUAACUGAUCUAAAAAGGUGGUUUUCUAUUUUUAAGGAUGAAUUUUAAUGCAAGUACAAAGCACAUAUCUGAAUGUGUCAGCGCUGCUUCCAAAGUUUUUUACAGAAUAUAUAUUUUUUUCAAAAUCUACACAGUAAGGUGCCCUCAAGACUUGUGUGUCAUGUGCAAUUAAUCACUUUUACAAUUGAACCUUUUGCAUUGUGAUAAGUCAGUAGUAGAUCAAUAAUUUUAUUUUCAUUCUAAAAUUGGCUAAAUAUUUUAUUUUAACAUGUUUUGUAACAUUAGUUUAUUGUAUUCUAGAAUUUAAUGCCAUAAGUGCAAUCAAGUGAUUUCCUACAGUCAUACUUAAUCAUACCUAACUUUGCCAAUACCUAACUAACCAUGUGUGAUAUGUUAGUGAUACUUAACCAUGUUUGACAUUGUUAAUGAUAACUGACAGAAGGCAUUCUGGAAUAUUGUAACUUAAGUCCAUUGAUUAAAAGUGUUAUGGUGACAUUUUUAAAACUACAUGAUGAUAUUUGCUUGCCUCAUAUUGUGUAAUAUUUAAUAGGAAUUCUAAGUGCUGGGUUUGACGUGAUCAAAACCACAAUAUAUGAUUAUCGGCGAUACCAUAGUGAAAGACUUCAGAAAUUUUGACUGCGUGGGAAAUGCACCUAUGUCUUACUCAAGCCUAUCUUUUUCGAUGAAAAUUGCGGCCACCGCAGCCGGGUUUCGAUUCCGCGACCUUCAGUUCAGCAGUCAAGGGUUACAUUAAGUCUACUGCUGGUUGUGAGCUGUAGUGUUGCUUUCAGUGAUGGAUGCUACUUACUGCAGUUUGUUGCCAACCAGGUAUCUCUGCUAGUGCACUGAUGGUAUUCGUCACAUUCCUAAUUUAUUGCAAUAUUUAAGGAUUGCCGCAUGAGUUGGUUCUGAUGUUAUGAUUGUCCUGUUUUUAUACUCUGUAAGGCUACAUACAUUGGUCAUUAGCCUAUAAAGCCCAGCAAGUCACUGCGAUUUACUUUACCUAUUAUUAUAGAACACAUGGCUAGUUUGGGUGUGCAAAUAUUAUCUAAGUAUACUCUCCGUAGUGUUUCGAAUGCCUUGAAAAAAGCUUUCUGGUCAGAAGUUACUGUUGUGAUGAGUUUAUUACGUAAAACAUUUGUUUGUGUUUGAGAAAUAAAUGUACUCUCAAUUACCUAGAAAAAUGCUGAAAAAGUAAAAAAAACUUUCACAGUGACAAUGAUAUGUUCAAGCUUCAUUGUGCUAAGGCUGAUGUGUUAAUCUUAUUUGUUUUCAACCACCAGCUGAUGUACGUUACCUGUUCAAAUAUUGUCUGUAAAAUGCUCCAAACUGUACAGUGUAGAUGAAAAUAAAUAUUUUGCAGUUUCA
Molecule: long non-coding RNA, 2388 nt
Organism: Rhipicephalus microplus (southern cattle tick)
Lineage: Eukaryota; Metazoa; Arthropoda; Arachnida; Ixodida; Ixodidae
Source: RefSeq, a predicted model, not a curated record